UUUUUUUUUUUUUUUUUUUUUGCAAUAAAUUAUACGACCUUCAUCAACACGUUUGACACUGAAUUUAGUUCUUUCCAUUUUCUCCUAUUAUUCAAACCUUUUAGGCCCCAUAUGAUUUUUCUCUUAGAAUUUUUUUAUAUAAAAGGAUACUAUAAUGAUUUGACGUAUUAAAAAAAAUUUUGAUUGAAAAAUGUAUUCAUAAAAAAUAAUUUUUUAAAAAACAACAACAAUCCAGAAAUCCAAACGAGACUUUAUCUUUCAUGUUGUGAAAUGAAAACUAUGACAUGUACACCUACAAUUUGAUCCGCUGCUCUCUCAUGUCGUUUAAAAGCAUUUAAAGGAUAUAGUAAUUGGAUUAAUCUUUUAUAUAUUGACAACAUAUAUACUGUCAACAAUUGAUGCAUAACAAUUCAUCUGAAUUUAGAUUUAAAAUUCAAAUUUUACUCAUGUGUCAUACAUCCAAUAAUAAUAACAAUAUAUACACUGUCAAUGUGUAUAAGAUUUGCGGAGAGUAUUUAAGUUGAAAGAAAUGCAAUUUUAAAGUUCAUUGCGAAACUUUCAUUCUCAGUUCUCGACGUACACGGUACAUCUAAGGUAUCGCCGAAUGGAAAGAGAUAAAAACCAGAAACCGUGGCAGGCUAUAUAUCACAAGAAUACGGGUGGUCUGAAACCUUCUUGUUUGCGAUUAGGAGCAUCAACUAAUCAUUAAUUUGUGGAUAAUGCCUCGUGAAUCGUGAUAAAGAUAAUGGCAUCUUCUCACGUAACAGCAUGUUCUACAUUUUUGUUAUGUUUCCCUAUGAAAAGACAUUUUUCUGAAUUUAUUAUGUAUCUUUGAUGUCUUUUCUCCUUUAUUUUUUUUUGACAAAUUUGAUGUCUUUUCGUUUAGUAUACAAAGCCAACCGAAAUCAAUCACCCCAUGUCGUGGUUGAAAUCAAUCUUUUAGUAUGCUUCUGCUUGAAAUGUAUGGUGAUGAUAGAUAGCCCAUGAUGUAAAUUUGAGAACCAUCUCCCUUGUGCAAAACUGAUUUGCCUAUCAAUGGAAAAGGAUUUUUGCUAGAGAGAGAGAGAGAGAAUUCCAUUCAAAGGAGCAGAAAAGACACUCCCACAGCUUCUCGUGGUUGGUACACCUUAAGGAAUGGAAAUGGAACAAUAGACAUGUUAAAAUAGAGGAGGAAUCAUGUCCAAGAAAGUUUUACUUGCAAGAUUUGGCCGCCAUAUCAGCAGCAUUUAGCAAUGAUGCAAAUAAUUGAAAAGGUGGAAUUUUCGGGCUCCAAAUGAUUGACCGCCAACUUGCUCAGCUCACGAGUUCCACCGACAUGACCUGCGAAAUUGACAUCUUCGGACCGGAUUCAUGAAAGAAAAUCUGUGAUUUAGAGAAAAGGUGCUCAUUUUUAAGCAGUUCACACACAAAAUUGACUGCACCACCAACGGGGCCCUGAACCGUGAAAUGAUAACCCUCCACUCCGCUCCCAAGGCUAGUCCCCUCAACCGGGGAGAUAUGAAUCAAAUAUCCUCCUCCUCAUUGGUGCCGCCAUCAAGUUUUCAGUGAGCCACCAUGGCCAUGAUAUAAACCCUUGUGAUCGUGCUAAUCACACUCACCUUGAGAUUGCCAUUUUAACUGACAGGCAUGCUGCUUCGAAUCAAAAUCCAAUUUGGCGGCCACGCUUAUCAAAUUCUGUGAUCUCCAUGAAUUCUGUGCCGCAUUUUUUAUAUUUAUGGAAGUUGUCACAAUCCAAAGAUGUGCAUAGCCACUGUUUUGAUUCUUCACAGGAUGAUUCAUAUGAGCGACUCCAGAACAUACUAUAAUAAGGUUUACCUACGUAUGCACGCUAUAUCUUGGGACUGGCGGCAAUGUAUAUUAAGUACUAUAUUGAUGUUGCUUAUUAAUUACAGUAUUAUUGCUUUACCUUUCAUUGUAUGUUUUGUCAUUUGGGUUGAACUAAAGUGUACGUACGCCGCUCUGUAUGAAACAAAGAUUUGAAGUUCUUAAAAUGUGAUUCCUAAUUUUUCGAAUUAGAAAGCUGCAGAAAGGAAUCUAUUGGUUCUUUCAUUUCGAAUUUUUUUAUUUUGUUACGUACAUACAAGUAUGGAUUUUGUUUUAUUUAUAAAUUGGUAGUUACAAGUAGAAAUAAAUUAAUAAUGACAAAAGCAGAUUUCAAACCUUUUUCUAGUGGAGACAAUAAUAAGAUUUCAAACAUUCAAUGGUUCUGUCAGUAUUGGAUACUUCUUCUCUUGAAUGUUGUUAAUGCUCUACUUGUUAUACUUUGGAAUUUAUUUUCUAGAGACAAUCAAACCUUCUUCUUCUCCUGGAUCUACUUUUUUUUUUUUUGGCUUUUAAAAAAAAAAAAAAUCCAAAUCUUGCAGUAUUAUACCUGACCCUCUUCAGCCGAUAACCCGUUGAAGAUGAUUGCGUAUGGAUAGUAAUUUAGUAAAAGAGAUAAAAAUGGUUAGAGCAAACCAAAUUACGAAGGGACCGCUCAACUGAUAGAUGCACAUACCUCUGUGUAGCAGGUGUUGAAAUUCAAGUGCAUCCUAUCAAGUUAUAAUCUUUUCUAAAGAAAACAGUGAAAAAGAUAAGUUGAUGGUUAUGUCCAUUUGCUGGUCUAUUAUUUGUUGUGCAAAGCUUUAACAAGAUGAGCACUUGUGUCAUUUUCCACAUUUUACACUAACAAUGGAAUUAUUAGCACCAUUUGGGUAGGGAUGGCAAUUGGACAUAACCAUUGGGUUAUUUCCACAUUUUACACUUGCGUCAUUUCCCAACCCCCGCCCCACCGAGGGCUACUGGGUCGGGUGGGGGGCAGGGGAGUAUACCCCCGCUCCAUCCCUCUCCCGCCACCUGCUAAUAUAUACACAUAUAUAUAUAUGUGUGUGUAUGUAUGUAUGUGUAUAAUUUUUAAUUUAAUUAGUUACAACCUUGUAAUAGUGAUAUUACUAGUUGUAAGUAUCAUAUAAUGUAUAGUAGUAUAUAUAAUAUACUUGAUAUUAUCAAUCAUACUAAUAAUUAUACAUGUCUACUAAUAAAAAUUAUUAAUUAGUUAUACUAAAUUUACUAAUACAUUUAUACUAAAUUCGUAAUUACACUUAACAUAAUAAUACUUUUUUUGUCAAAAAGUACAAUAAUGGCUUAGUGAUUGUAUUUAUUUCAUAAGUCAAAACUUGACUACUUUAGUUAUAUUUGUUCAUUAUGUUGGAUUAUAUUUAAAUAAUUUCUUUUAUGCGUACCUUGGCCCCGUGCUUUAUGCAUGCUAGUGUUCCUGACACACGCGACCACCGGAGGCAGAAUUUAAGAAGGGGAGCCCAGAUUCAAAGCCAGAAUUUAGAGCGAAGAAUGAGCUAUAAUGCUUAAUAUGUUUUGUUUUACACGUUGGCAGAAUCAAAAUGGGUGUGAGAUGCAAGAUGGAAAGUGGGCAUUGGAGUACCGCCGAUUUGAAGGUUAUAGAACGGUGAAAGCACAUGGGAAGAGUAUAUAAUCUUUAUCCAUUGAGGACUGUAUACGCCUGUGUCUAUCAUUUAACAUAUUGUGUUUUUAAAGUUAAUUUUCAAGGUGAAUUCUUCUUCUUUUAUAUAAUGAUGUCUCUAUAUUUCAGGACACCACAAAUGCACGAAAAUAAAAAAGAGGGGUGAACCAAAUAAUAAAAUUCUAACAUAUUAGUACGUAUUGUUAUUCACAUCCUAAUUUGAGGAUACUUUUUUCACAGUGAAUAUUCUUUUUGCGGACAAAGUUAAAUUUGGAACUUUAGCAGACAAAGUUAGAUUAAAUCGACGUCCCAUUUACGUGGUAUGGUUAUAAAAUCUAGCUUGGCUUGACGGUCGAACCGUUCAAACCAGUGAACUGGCCAUUACGAUGGAGUUGGGCUCACAAAUCAGCCAACCAUCCAGCAAUCGAAUUGGUGAAUUCAAAAAAAUCACUGCCAACUAAAAAGUUUUACUCUUUUAAUAUGUUAUUAUAUUAUAAAAUAUAGCUAUUGUCCAAUCGUGGUUCAAUCGAAAAAUCGUUGAGCAGAUCACCUCUCCGUGUCAAAAUUCAGACCGGAUUUUAUAACUAUGUUGUGUGGUCCUGUCGCGUGUUACUUAAUAAAAAAAAACAAAUAAUAAAAUUUUCAAACAAUUGAACCAAAUACUGACAGCUGUAGAACAAAACCACAGGGUAUGCUUGGGCCGUUUUCUUGGGAUUAGAGCAUAGCGAAUUGCAUAAUGCAGCGGAGAAUUUCAAUUUGGGACGGUCUCUGUGUCCAGCUUUUAGGGGACCAGUGGGAAUCCAGCGGAUUAUUAUUAUAUUAUAUUAUAUUAUACACGAAUUAUUUAUUAUACGCGAGAAAUUCGGAAUGACGUACGUCGACAGGUCUGUAAAGUGGCCCAUAUUGAUCCAUGACAACGAAAAGUGCUGCUUCCUGUGAUGGUAAUGUUCCACAUGAUCUGGAUAUUUUAAUUGGGCCUUAUGUCCCGAGAUGUAUUUAUACGCAUGCUUAUUAAAAACUUUUUUUAGUUGAGAUUUUAAUAAAAAUACUUAUCAAUUGCUUUAGUGAUUUUAAAAAUAUUAUUUAGAGACAUAAUUCAAUAAAUACUUAUUGCAUCGGAUAAUGUGUAAUUUAAAAAUUUUUAAAAGUGUUUAUCUCUUUAUUUGGUUCCUAAUAUAGGAAAAAAUGAUUAAAUUUGAUAUUUUAUUUUUAAAUCACAAAAAAGCUACUCUAAAAUAACCGAAUUUGAGCUUUUGAUAAAAGUGCUUUUAACACCAAGAUCUCUGCUCUUAAUUUUAUGGGGUGAUGUUCUGCCAAACGCAAGUAGUUUUAUUACCUAAAAGUAUUUUUUUUUUUUUUUUGCCAAAAACACUGCAACCCUAAGCGGUGCCUUAAUUCCUUAACACAGCCACCCCACAGGCCAGAGGACGUUUAAUUAUUUUUUUUUUACUUUGUUUAAUAUUUUAUUCAAUUUUUGUCAAUUCAGAAAAGUGAAACAUAAUGCAUAAUGGUGGUAUUUCCAUAAAUACAACACACAAAUUAAUUAAUUGAUGAGGCCCACCAUGAUCGGAUUGUUGCUAUACCCUACUCUUCCCUGUAUUUCUUUCUUUAAUCAAUAGUUUUGAUUUUUAAUUUCAAGUUGAUGCGGAAAGCACAAGAAUUGACCAGGCUUUGAUUCACCCCGUCAUGAUUGUUCUUUCUCUCAUUCUUCCCUCCAUGCCUCCCCGUCUGAACAAGAAUGGAAGAAGAUUCGCUUGCUUGAAUUUUUUGAUUUCGUACAUUACACUUUUUUUAGAUCAUCUAAUCUUCUUUGGGAGUUUAUCAAAAAGAAGUUCCACGCACUUUGGUUGACUUAGCACUCAGUGUAACUGUGUAAGAUGAAUUGAUCGUGUUGAGUAAGAAGUUACGAUAUUCAAGAAAUAUAGAGGAGGAUAAUUAGGUUCACGAGUUGAGACAUAAAAGUUAUUAUGCUUAUAUUAAUGUUAUUUAUAUUUCACUUCUCUACACAAUUUCAACCUUCCAACCUUAGCUUAUAUGUAUUAACUUUAGCUUAUAAUUCUCACAGUUAAUAGACGGAAGUUAGCCCGCGUGACGAGCACAUUUAUGUGAAUGGAUAAUUUAGACAUUUCACAUUAAACAAUAAACCUUUUGAGGCCCAAUUUAGUGAAUCUCUUUUUUUUUUUUUUUUUUUUGGAUAGGUUUUUACUCUUACAUUCCUCAUCCUUUCCACGCCCUAAUCGUGAUCUUUUAAGUAGGAAGCCUUGAAUUUAAAACUUCACAUUUACACUAUUUUCUCUCGUACCACCUAAUCCAUCUUUCCCAUAUUCUAGUUUGAUUAUCAAGAAUUAAGGGUUUUCUUUUGGAUCCAAUUCGUUAAAAUCUGGGACUUCUUUUAGUACGUUGAAGAAUCAAGGAAAGAGCUAAUUCUUUAGGAUUGAUUAAAUUCAUAUUAAUGACCAUAACAUCGAUGGAUUUCUCACUUGAGAAACAUUGCACUCUCAUAAGGGUGAGAAUCGGUCAAUUUAUUUGUUAAUUAGUUAAAUGAAAUCAAUCAAAAUCGUUUUUUACCUCUCUCAACUUCGGACCUUGAUCGAAAUUGAUUUUGUUUUCACAAAAUUGAAAUCAAAUUAAAUUAAAUUUGAAAUUUUAUUAAUAAUUUGUCCAUUUUAAUCUUUGUUAUAAAACCACAAAGAUGAGUUUGCAGUUAAUAUCUAAAAAUUACAUCAUAUGAUUUUAUAAAUUAAUGUAUAAAGUAAUUAUUCAUAAACUCUAAAAAAGAACAAUGUAUCCACACGUAUUUUUAUAUACGUAUGAAUUAAGCACAUAUUAUGUAAUAAGCAGUUUAGUGUUAGACAUUACUAUUACUUGAUGUAUAGUACUUUUUAUGUAAGUUUUUGUCUUUUAGUUAUUGAAUAGGUAUUAAUAUAAUCAUUCCUAUUGAUGAAAUAGUUAAUAACUAAAGGCCAAUGUGUAUAUGUAUAUAUACAUAUACAUACAUAUAUACAUACAUAUACACACGUACAUAUAUUAUAUCUAAUAAUAUAUAUUAUGCAUAUAUGUAUGUGUGCAUAUACUAUAUAUUAUAUAUCCAAUAUAAAUUUUAAACUAUACCAUAGGACAUAAAAAUCUUAAGACAUAAAAAACUAAAAAUACACAAUAUGAGUAUUAUAUACAUAGAAAAAAGGGUUCAAUUAAAAUUGGCAUUGAACAUCCAAAUCAGAAUUGGAAUUAAAAUUGAAUUUAUUGAAAUUGGUUUUAACUGAAAUCAAAUUAAAAUCAAAUUCACCGAAAUCAAGUUCAGUAUGCAAUUUGAUAUGAAAAAUAUUUUGGCUGGUGAAAUAAGAAUUUUAAAAUUUUUGGUAACCUACUCCGCACUUGGUCCUAGUUUCAAAGUACAUCGUGUAGAAAACCACAAUUAGUUGAUAAAAUUAUGCAUGACAUGUAUGAAUCCGACCAGCAAACCCAUAGUUAGUUGAAGAUUUAUUAUUCAUCUGUUCAGCAAACAAAGUAAAAGACUCCCAUAAGCUCAAUUCAUCAAUUGUCAGUGUCAUCGGGAAUGAUUUAAUUAUAUUGACUCACAAUCUAAACAAAAUAUAUAAUAUUAAAAGCCUGACAUAAUUAACAUUGGUGCAAAAUGUUUAAUUUAAUAAUCUAUAAUGCCCAAUUUGUUAACAAAAAGGUUCUGGUGAUAAAAGAGCCUCGUUCCUCAUCUCACAAUGAGGAUUAGACUCUCAUGAUCUCCAUUCUCCAUUUCUCCCUAUCCUAAAUUGAUUGGCUGUGUAUAGUUUUUGCCAUGCACCUCAUAAAGCCACGCUUACGUAAUCAAACCAUAUAUUAUAGGGUUAAUAGAACUAAAUUCUCUUGAAUUUUACCCUCAAUUGCACUUUGCUCUCCUCAACUCAAUAAAUAGGUGUUUUGUGCCCCUAUUUUAUAUUUUAAGAUAAAAAUGCCCCUUUCAUAUUAAUAUUAUUUUAUUUUUUCCUUUUUUUUAACCCUUUUGCUACUUGUCCCUUUUUUUCAUAUUUUUAAAAUUUUUCUCUCCUCUCUCAUAUAAUAAACUACUUUAUUCUCUUUGUUAUUAUUGUCUAUAUAUUAAUUUUAAUCUUCUUAAACUUAUUUAUUUAUUUAUUUUUAUUUUUUACCUUUUAUUAUCAGAAGUAAUAAUGAUCAUAAAGUUCACACUAUAACAAAUUAUAUGUUAUCUACACACAUAACCUAUUUUGUAUAUUACUUAAAUCAAUACAUCUAGAGUUUUGAAUAAAAUAAUUUUUAAUAAUAACAGUAACAAAUUUAGAUCGUAAUAAUAUACUAGUUAAUCUACUAUAUAUUAAAAAAGUAAAUAAAAAUAUUAGUUACUUUAUUUUUUGGGAUAUACUUUUAAAUCUAAAGUUCUAGUUUGCUUAUAUCAUUUUAAAUAGUUAAAUUGCUAGUAACAUACACAUUUUAAUUAUAAUAGGCAUAUAUCAGUUUUUGCCACUAUACAAUUUUUAUUGAAAUUUGUAAUAGUGUAAAUAAAUAAAAGAAGAAUGAAAUUUUAAGUAAAUUAAAGAUAUUUUACAAUAGUAUAAUUAGCAUACAAAAAUAGUAAUACUAAUAGGAAAGUGAAACAAAAUAGUGACAUGAGAGAAGUGAAAAAAUAGUAAAAAAUGUAAAAGAAAAUGGUGAAAAAGAAAAAACAAGGUAAUGAAUAAACAAAAAAAGAAAUAAAAUAAAAUAGUAAGGGUAGUUUUGCCUUAGUUAAUGAGUUCAAGGGAGAAAAGCAUAACUAAAGGUAAAGUUGAGGAGGGCCUAGUGCUUUUAACCCUAUAUUGUACGAAGAAAGAUAAUUUUAUUGAGAUUUCAGAAGCCAUCCUAAUACGAAAGAAAAAUAUACUCCAGUUAUAUUUUUUUCUUUGUUGAAAUCAUUCAUAUAAAAGAACAAAAAUCUUGAAAAAGUUCAGUUACCUAAAUGAGAAAUUUAGAAAAGUUCUUCUAACCCCUUUUCUCUUGGUAAAAAUAGAAAAUUUGUUGAGAAGGGGAAAACCCCAUAUCCUAUACUAUGCCACUAUCGUCAUAGUGAAAGACAUUUAGACGCCUUGUACAACAGAUCAUCUAUAUAUAUGUAUAUAUAUGAUAUCUCCAAUUUUUAGCGUGGAAACAUCAAACAAGCAAAGAGUGGUACAGUCAUCAAAUCAGAAAGAAAAUCUGCCACUGCUGCCCCCUUGUGUGUUGAGGAAAAUUGGAAUGCUCGCAUCAACCUUUCUUUUCCUUUCUUUCUUGUUUCCUUCCUUCACGGAAAUUUACUAGAGUCCAAGGGACAUGUGGGCUAUUGUGGUUACCUUCCCGCGUCAAUCCUGACCUCGUUAGGCACAAGAUCAACAGUCCCAAGAAUCGUCAAAACCAUUUCCCAUUUUUCUCUGGGAAAAUCGCAUGUAUAAAAACUAGCAUUGGGUCCGUUUGGAUUCUUGUUUUUGGGCCUAUUUUUGAAAAACUGUUUUUCACAAUUCAAAUGCUACAGUAAAUGUGUAUUUCAAAACAACUCCAAAAACACCAAUAUCCAAACAAUAUAUCAAAAACAACUCCAAAUACAUAUUUAAUAUGUUUAUUUCAAUUUAUAUAUUUCAAUUAUGUAUAGGAUAUAUAUAUAUUAUAUUAAUUUAAAUAUAUUUAUUUAUACAUAUUAUAAAUAUUUUACUUUAUAUAAAAUAUAUUUUUAUAUAUUUAUAUAAAUAUUAUAUAUUAUAUAAAUUAUAUAUAUUAUAAAUAUGUUAUUAUACAUUUAUAUAAAUGUUAUAUAUUAUAUAUAUUUAAUAUAUACAUAAUAUAUAUUAUAUAUAUUGAACAUUUAUAUAAAUGUACAUUUUAACAUAAUAUAUAUAUUUAUGUAUAUUUAUAAUAUACAUUUAUAUUAUGUAUUAUAUAUAAUAUAAUACAUUUAUACAUUUAUAUUAAUAUGCAUAAUAUUAAUUACACAUUUAUACAUAAUAUUAAUAAAUGUAUACAUUUAUAUUUAUUACAUUAAUACAUUUAUACAUAGUAUUAAUAUAUAUUUAUAAUAUAUUAAUUUAUACAUUUAUAUAAUAUUCAUUUAUAAUUUAUACACAUUUAUAAUAAUAUACAUUUAUAUAUUUAUAAAUAUAUUUAUAUUAUGUAUUAUAUAUAAUAUAAUACACUUAUAAUACAUUUAUAUAUUUAUUUAUAAAUAUAAUAUAUAAUAAACAAAUAUAAUACACUUAUUUAUUUAUAUAUAAUAUAUAAAUUUAUUUAUAAAUAUAAUAUACUUAUUUAUUUAUACAUAAUAUAUAAAUAUAUUUAUUUAUAAAUAUUUAUAAUUGUAUUAUAAAUGCAUAAAUGUAUAUAAAUAUAAAAACAUAAAAAUUAUAAAUUAUAAAUUAUAAUAUACAUUUAUAUAAUAUUCAUUUAUAAUUUAUACACAUUUAUAAUAAUAUACAUUUAUACAUUUACAAAUAUAUUUAUAUUAUGUAUUAUAUAUAAUAUAAUACACUUAUAAUACAUUUAUAUAUUUAUUUAUAAAUAUAAUAUAUAAUAAAUAAAUAAAUAUAAUACACUUAUUUAUUUAUAUAUAAUAUAUAAAUUUAUUUAUAAAUAUAAUACACUUACUUAUUUAGAAUAAUAAAAAAAUAUAUUUAUUCAUAAAUAUAUAAAUAUAUUUAUUUAUAAAUAUAUAAAUAUAUUUAUUUAUAAAUAUUUAUAAUUGUAUUAUAAAUGCAUAAAUGUAUAUAAAUAUAAAAACAUAAAAAUUAUAAAUUAUAAAUUAUAAUAUACAUUUAUAUAAUAUUCAUUUAUAAUUUAUAUAUUUAUAGUAAUAUACAUUUAAACAUUUAUAAAUAUAUUUAUAUUAUGUAUUAUAUAUAAUAUAAUACAUUUAUAUAUAAAUAUAUGAAUAUAUUUAUUUAUAAAAGUACAAAUAUAUUUAUUUAUAAAUAUUUAAAUAUAUUUAUUUAUAAAUAUUAAUAAAUGUAUUAUAAAUGCAUAAAUGUAUAUAAAUAUAAAAAUAUAAAAAUUAUAAUUUAUAAUUUAUACAUUUAUAUAAUAUUCAUUUAUAAUUUAUGCAUUUAUAAAUAUAUUUAUAUUAUGUAUUAUAUAUAAUAUAAUACAUUUAUAUAUUUUUAUAUAAAUUUAUUUAUUUAUAAAUAUUUAUAAAUGUAUAAUUAUAUAUUGUUAUAAAAAUAUAUAAAUUAUAAAUUAUAAAAAUACUCGAAAAUAUGUUUUAAAAAUACAUCUAAAAAUAAUCCAUAAAACAUCUACAGUAAAAGAUUUUUAUAUAAUUUUUGAAAAACAACCCCAAAAACAACUAAUCCAAACGGACUUGUAUUUGAAAAACGAAAUGCUACAGUGCUGUUUUUGAAAAACAACCCCAAAAACAGCUAAUAUUUCGGAGAAUGUUGGAAUUUUAUUUAUUGAAUUCUAGAGAAGAAGAAAUGGUUGUCCACGGUUGUUGCGUUUUAUGCUUCACUGCUCCUGUACCUUUUUUUUUUCUCACUACUACAGCUUUAACUCGGAAGUUAACUGUCAAGUAGGGAUGUAAUCGAAUCGAGCUGCUCGCGAGCAGCUUCAAGAGUUUGACUCGAACUCGGUCAAAUCGAAUUCGAGUCGAGUUUCGAGCAGCUCGAUAAGGUUAUCGAGUCGAGUUCGAGCAUCUAGAAGUCAUGCUCGAAGACUCGACGAGCCUUAUCGAGUAUUUUAAUUUUAAUUAUUUAAUAUUUUUAAUUUUAAUUAUUUAAUAUUUUAAUUUUAAUUAUUUAAUAUUUAAUAUUUUAAUUUUAAUUAUUAAUAUAUUAUUAUUAUAAAAUUACCCUUAUACCCAAAAGAAUUGUCGAAUUUACGAAAUGUUUCAAGUCAUAUAAAAUUUUUAAAAGGGUAAUAAUGUCUUUUCGCUCAAAAAUUAUAAAAAAAAUGAAAUUUAAUAAUUCGAGCGAGCUCGAUAAGACUCGAAUGGACUCGAGCCCAUACGAGUCGAGCUCGAGUAUUGCGAGCAAGCUUCGAGCUCGAGCUUGAGCUUCAAUAAUACUACUCGCUCGAACUCGAGCACCCCUAUCUGUAUGUCGAGUCGAGCUCGAAUAUCGCGAUACUCGAGCUCGACUCGAUUCGAUUACAGCCCUACUGUCAAGUGUUGUACAGAUAUAUAUGAUCCUUGACUUGAAUUGAGAGAAUUAAAAUCUCUCUUCUGAAUUUCGACUUAAUUGAAAUUAUUUAGGAUCAUCCACCUAAGAAAUGUGUGUUUUUUUUUAAAGAAGUUAAUUUGUACUGAGAAAGUAAAACAAAAGUGCAUGUCAUUUAAACCCCUAAUCAACAGUACCUUGGUUUGUUUGGAUAGUGGGUUAUUUCUAUAAAUAUAUUUGUUUACAUCACCAUUACAAUUUUUAAUACAGUUUUUUAUCUUUUUUGUUACCUUUUUAUCUCACAUACAUCACAUCACAAAAAAUACUACAAUAAAAAUACCUCAAAUAAUUUACAAUCCAAACAAACCUGAAUUCGGGCAGAGAACUAACCGGUAUUGUCAAGUUUGUCAUCAACCGACCAAGCUUAAAUCUCCCAUCAAUUUCGGCCAGAGAUGAAUUGUCAAUUUUUCUAACAUAAUGCCCCUAAUCAUGUCUCGGUCAUAUUUGGCAGUAGUAAAUGUACUUGAAAUAUGGAAUGUGAACUCAACCCGAAUCUAAGGAUCCAUUUGGCAUCCUUUUUCUAGGCAUGUUUUUACUAGAUAACAUUUUUUUCCCAACUUUAACUACAGAAAUUUAUUAAAACACCCUAAGUUUUAUAAAAAACAUAUCGAAAAACAUAUACUCAUUUCCCUCUUCUACUACUAUCCUCCCUUAACUAUCUCUGCUUCUACUACAAUCCCCCUCUUCCUUUCACUUCUUGCCGCCACCUCUACUAUCAUUACCUCCCUUUCCUAUUACCACCCGCCACCCCCUCUCCUCUCCUUUCCCCUUGCCCCUCCCCCCCCCUCCUCAAACUAGAUCUCCUUGAAAGAGCAAAUCUAAUGGAAGGGAGGGGUCUAGGAGGAAGGGAGAGAGAAAAGGAGGGGGAGAGAAGAAGAGGGAGAGGGCGGUAGGUGGUGGUGGGGAAGGGUGUGAUAGGUGCAUUAGAUUUUUUUUGAGGGGGGAAGGGGAGGGAGGAAGAGGGGGGAGAAGAAAGGGAGGCAGUGAUGGGGGGAAGAAAAAGAGGAAGGAAUGGCAGAUAAAGGGAUGAAGAUAGUGACAGUUGCUUGUGAGGAUGGUGGCAAGGGUGGAUGGGGCGUAAUGAAUGACGAAAUUUUAUAAAUAUUUUCCAAACAAUUAAAUACACAAAAUUUUUUAUGAUAAACUAGAGUAAAAUUUUAGACAAAUUUUUUUUUUAAAAAAAAAACAGCAUUCAAAUGGAUGCUAAAUUUCUUUCAUGAAACUUAAUCGUGAUGUGUCUACAUGAUGAGCACAAAAUCUUUCUCAUCGAACAGAGUUGCUUGGCAGCAGAGAUCGAAGUUUCUUUGGCAACUGUGCAACAUAGUGGUUGGAACUAAAAAAUUUAUUCCGAGGAGAUAAAGUUCACCAUAUUUCAAUCUAAAUAUAUAGUGGAAAAUAUGUUCAAGUUUUUGCGGAGUCAAAAGUAUAAAAUUUAAAAGGGUAAUUUUUAAAAAUUUUUAAUUUUCUAAUAUUUAGGAAAUAUGGACCUUUCUAGCGCCUUCUAGUUCCGUCCAUGACCGGGUCAUUGAGAAUGUGUCAUUAAAAUUUAAAAAGGUUUUUUUAAAAGUUUUUAAUUUUCUAAGGGCAAAAAACCUAAUAUUUAGGAAAGAUGGACCUUCCUAGCCCCCUUAGUUCCAUCCAUGACUGGGCCAAUGAGAAUGUGUAAUGCUUUUUAUCUACGGCAACAAGCAUCAGCAAAUCUAACAAGAAAGGAGCUCUACAUUAUCCAGAAGAUGACAGUCAGCUUCUUUUUUUUUUUUGGUGUAAACAGGGUCUUAAAUUUAAAACCUUCUAUUUACAAUUCUUUCUAUCUGAUCAUCUAAUUCAACUCUCUCCUAAAAGCUGGAUUCAAUAAUGUCAGUAUUGAGAUUUUAAUGUCACUAAAAACACCACUGCUUACUAAGUUGGUAGCAUGUACGUUCUCUACAAGAAUUUCAUACAUACUAUCAACUACUCGAAUUUGACUUGAGCAUUGGAGUAAUGGAAUUAAACCCUAGUCAUCUUGAAGUUUUCUUUUGCAGUUUAUCGACCUCAUCUUCUAAGUAUCUAACUAGCUUGGGUUUUCAAUUGGCACACCCUAUGCAUAGUCAUAAAAUUUGUACAUUUCUGGCCUGCUCGAGUCAAGUCUUGCUUCUCGAGUGACCAUACACUUGGUCACCAAAAGCUCCCUUCCAAACAAUUGUCACAAAGUGAAAUAGCUAAUUAAUUACAACUAGAGGUGAAUCUUUAAGACCAUGGAAACCCUAAGAACAUGAGGCAGUGGAUUUAUUCGGGGCAUAAUUAGUCUCGUUUGGAUUGCAUGUUUUUCAAGAAAAAUCAUUGAAAUAUUUCUUUACACAAUUUUCAAUUACCUUCUUUUUUUUUUAAUGUCAAAUAAAAAAUCACAUAACUACAGUAUAUAUUUCUAUAAAACUCCAAUUUCUGGAACUUGCUUGCUGGUUUCUAAAUGCGAAGUAGACCCCAUUAGAAAUUCAAUCAGGGACAUCUUUUGAAAGGAUAUGUUGCAUUCCAAGUGUCCAACCAUCAAUACAGUUAGUAUCUAAACGUUCAGGCCCCGAUCCCAGCAGAAGCACAGCAUGGCACGUGUUGUAAUGAACAUAAAAUUACAUACAUGAAUUCUUUACAUUAAUGAUGCCCGAAAGGGUAUGGUAGUAUAGCACCAAAAACUAUAUCAUAUCGGUGCAUGGGUCCUUGAUCAUGUAAGCAAAGCACAUGAUCCUCUCAAAUUUCUCGUCUUACUGCUGCACUAAUUCUAAAAGCUGAAGUAGCGGAUUCAUCCGUGGGCGGCGUGGUUUCUCUCUGGGUUAUAUGUGUACGCACUCUAGCCCAGAAAAAAUCUAUCUUUAUUUUAGACUUCUUUACAGCUUUAAUGAACCACCGAUUAUGUCUUUAGAUUUAUACGUUAGUAUUCACCCUAGACUCUCAUGGUCUUAUUUUACAACUCUUGACUGAAUCCAACAAAGUAACAUCGAAUAUUACUGGAGGAUGCUUUGUGUAUGGUGUCGUCCCUAGAGCCUUCGAUAGCUCCAGCCAUCCUAAACAGUGCAGAAUGAUUUGUCAAAACUCUAUAGAUUCUUUUUUUUUUUUUUUGCAAAUAUCUGUGCAAAUAUAUAUAUAUAUAUAUAUGUCCACAUGGUUCAUCACACAACUUUUUGCUAUUCAAAUCAAGGGUCACGUCGGUUGUUUCUAGCUAUUGAUUUAUUGAUACAUAAAUCCAUUAAUCUAUAUCCCUUGUGAUGUACACUAAUCCCCAUGAUAGAAGUACUUGCGAUCGGAAUGCCGACAUGGACUGAGAUGCUUUCCAAUUCAAAGUUGGGUCCGGAAAUAAUCACGUGCCCCUGUUUCUGAGAGAGAGAGAGAGAGAGAUGAGGCCUAAAAGGAAGGAAGACUUGGAAGAAUAAGAGCCAAAUGAUAUAGGUAGGAUUCUGCUUAAAGCACUUGCAAUGGUGAUAUUGUUAUGGACCAGGAGAAAUAUGCACCAAUUAAAUGGUAGAUGGCUUGAUUAACUGUGUUGGAUAUGUCUUCCAUCUCUCAAUCUUUCACUCUCAGCUACAGAGCUUUUUAGCAACAACAUGUAGUAUAUCAAUUCAACUUCUUAAACGAUUUAAAAAAGCCAAUAUGUGUUCUGCGGCAGACCACCCUUCCAUUGCGCUGCGGUUGCUGCAUCAGAAAUGUGGCCCAAAUGGUGUGUAUACUGUUCAGUUCUGGUGGCCUCAUUCAUAUUUUGGAGAAAUUCAUAAAGGCAGUUUGAUCUCGCAGUCAGAUAAGUCUAGAAAUGUUGAAUUUUCUUUAAUGGGGGUACUAUUUAUAGAUUCUGAAGUCUUCCAAAGAAAAAAGGGUUUUAUUGGGGGGAAUUCUAUGCUUUUCUUUUUCUCUGAUUGAAUCCUUAGCCGCGUGUUCUUUUCAUGAGCAUAAAUUCUCCAUUUUAUCUUGUCAAUUGAAUUCAACACCAUUAAUGAUUGAUGAAUGACCCUCCUCAUCAAUUUUCCCUAUAAAAGUCUCCACCCUCCAAUCUUUCUGGACUGUGCACUUAGACAUAAGAAAGUACCCCCACUACCUCCACUUCUACUUCUCAAAAUGCCCAUGUUCUCUUCUUGAGCCGUCUCUCACGUACGUCACAACUCAUUAGUCAUUUUUACAUAUGAAUUUUAUCCUCCAUGUAUCUCUUAUUCUUAUUUUUGGUCUGAUUCUAGUCCAGCGACAGCUUUAUUUGUUGAGGGAUCUUAGUCUUUCUAUACAUUUUUUUUUUCGUUUUUCUUUCGGCCUUUCAAGAAAAUAAUGGAGGCCCUCUUUUUGCAUUUGCCAUGCAAGGAACAACGAGGCAACAUAUAGACUAGUCUCUCAAGUCUUCCAGUUAUUUUGAGUUAAAUUUCUCCCUUAAAAUGCAGGACCAAUACAGUCGGGCAAAGCUCAACGCCUAGUGAUCCUCGGGGGAACUGGAAAGCAGUAGCCUAGCCUAGUCUCCUGAGACAUGAACCGGGUAAGGCAAAGGACGUUGAACCAUAUUGUACUUUUUUUUGAGCUUUUAUCACCAUCAACCAUGCAAUACCUAAUUUAUGUGGGUACUACCUAUGUAGGUAUUUAGUAUUUUUUUUUGGAUAGAAUAAAGUUUGUGUGAAUUCGACUCCGAUCACUGCUACAGUAAAUGCAACUCAAAUCCAAAUAUUCUACCUUUUUUUUUCAUCUAACAUGCUGUUAACUUAAGAUUAUAGCAAAUAAAAAAUUUCCUAGAUAUUAUGCUCCUGUACACUUUUUCUACUACUGAGUAAUAAACAAGCUCGUGUGGGUUGUGUAGAGGUUAAAACUGGGUCGUUGUUCUGACUGUUCUCUUAGGUCAAUGGACCACCAACCUUUUCGUUUCUUUGUGUAUUUUUAAUUUCGUAUAAAUGAAUGUUAGUGUAGUAGCCUUUCUUUUUCAAGAAUACGUGUGGUACUAUUAUUUUCUUUAUAUUCGGCCAAAAGGAAUUCUUUGGCCAAUCCAAGCACUGUAAAAGGGAGUUAGGUGCCUUGUGUCUCUAUGCAAAGUCUGCUGUUCUUAAAGUUCACAAAAACACGAGAGCAAUAAACUGGCAUCGGAUAGUUCCGAAUGCCUAAGGAAGCCAUAGUUCUUGGGGAGUUGUGAAUCCUAAGUUUCAAGGCGAUGCUUCUUCCCUUUUGGCCCUUUACCUAAGAAUUUUCACUUUACCUAGGCCUAGAACGACUCAAUUCUUGUCCCAUUAGAAAGCAUGAUCUGAAAGCACCACCAUGUCUGCAUGUCCCAUGAGCAAGUGGGAAUAAUACGAGAGAAUUCAGCAUCCUAGUGAAACAGAGAACAUUUGGCUUUUGCCUCAUAAAACCACAUAUUUAAGUAAUAAUAAAAAAAGAAUGCAGAUGCAAACAAGAAAAAAAAUUUAAAAAAAAAAAAUCUUAAUCUGUACAAGAUUCAUGUAGCCGCUUUAAUUUGGUCGCAUAAUCUUGUCGUGGUGUAUAGCUAGAGCUCAAGCUAAAGUUAAUCAAUAAUACUAAUAAUAAUUCAAGAUGCAUGUUUCUUGGGAAUUAAGACGCGAACGCCUAGAAUUAAUUGUUGAGCCUGAAUCGGAACAAAUUAAUCCCUACAAACCAGACAAAUAGGCUGAAAAGGUGACAAAUGGGGUCGUAAUCCGGAUAGCUCGGAUGCUUCAAUUUGGCAAAUUCAAAUAGCAGGCAAGUAAGGAGAUCGAAGUGAUUAUAUGAAUUGGCAAGUAGUUAUGAGUUACCCGAUUUGAUACCCAGCAUCGGGUGCUCAUAUGCAGGUGAGAGGUGGGAGGCUGGCAGCCUUUGUAGAAAAGGACAAUGUUGGCCUGAAUGUGCAAGUCACCUUGCCAUUUAGCAGGAUGUUAUUGAAAAUCCACCUUAAUCCAAAUAAAAACUUACCCAAUGUCGUUUGAGAAAAAGUGACCCUUUUGUAAAAUACUCUACUUUAAAUCUUUAUGGCUCCCGACCUUUAGAUAAUCAUCAAAUUUUCUCUUUGUUUUCCAUCAAACCCAUUCAUAGACUUGAGAUAGGGAAAAAUGCAGUUUCAGUCCUCAAUAUUUAGUACUUGGCAGUCACCAGUUGGUUCUCAACGUAUUCAAUUUAAAGCAGAUUUAGGAAAUUUUUUUUCCCUAAUUAUUGAUAAAAUUUAGUCAUAUGUAAUCAUGUGCACAUUAAAUUGAAUUUAUACGUAAGCAAAAUAGCAGCUAAGUAGCAAACUAAAACUACAUUUCUCUUAUUGGGACAAGCAUAUAGCCAAAUUGCUCGUCCGCUUUCCUACUUCAAAAUCUAGUACGGAUUAAGAUAGGGUUUCAGGCUUUGGGACCUUCGGGCCUCCUGUCCCUCAGUUCUACUUAAGAACAAGGAUCUUAUCCAAAAGGGGCAGACAUCCCCGGUCGACACCCCUCCACCUUAACACAGAAACUACAUACGUCAACCUUUGUCCCCAAAGUCUCCAAACCAAAAAUGGCCAAUAGAGUGGCUAACGUUUUCAUCGACGACGAACUAAGAAGAAACAUGGCAAAAAUGGAUUUUUCAUCCAGUACUUCCUGUCUUCUACUCGUCCUUAGCUCACUAAUCGACAAAAAUUCUUGUCCUAGGCUGAGCUAAUCUUGAGCUGUGCAUUUCCCAAAUUACUUUUUUUUUUUUUUUCCUUUUAACCUGUAAUUAAUGUGCUGAACUGGCCUCUUCCCCCUCUACUAUUUCACCUUCUUUCUUUUUACAUAGCAUCAUCUACUCUCCUGGUCGAGUUCUCACGUCAACCCUUAGCAUGGUAAACUUCUUUUGUAGGGUUAAAAUAUUCUCCAUAAAAGGAGCAAACGAGGAAGAGUUUCUCUGACAUUUGGAUCAUGGAAGGUUCGCACGAUCCACCAUUCCAAGAGCAGUACAAUAGCUUGUUCAACAAAUCACCAGAUACAGGUCCCAAGUAUGCUAACGACUACGACCUUUUCAUCGUACAAGAGUGCGAGCUUCCGCUGAUCGAUCUUGCUCAGCUAAACUCGGGCGAGCUUGCCAGGGAGAGGUGCAAGAAGGAUAUAGCUAGAGCAUCCCAAGAAUGGGGUUUCUUCCAAGUAUUGAAUCAUGGGAUUUCUCGUGAAAUAUUGGACAAAAUGAGAUCAGAGCAAAUCAAGGCUUUCAAGAAACCAUUUCAUGAGAAGAUGAACGAAAGUGGUUUCGGCCUCUUGGCCGGCAGUUACCGUUGGGGGACGCCUUCAGCUACUUGCCUGAAGCAGUUGGCUUGGUCGGAAGCUUUUCACGUACCUCUCAAUGCUAUCUCAGGUUUAGGUGGUCGCAGUAGUCUCAGGUAAAUAUUUUACCCCUUAAUUUUAUGACUUUCGUGCUUCUUCUUCUUCUUCUUUUUUUUUUUUUUCCUCCAAUUAAUUUUUGGUGUGUUUUCUCUUAUUAUGAAAUUUGCUUACACAGAUAUGAUGACUAGAUACAACUAGUGAUACACCUAAAACACAUUUAGAUUUUGAAGCUAAAAUCUUGUGCAUAUUUUAGGUAGUACAAAGAGGAGCAUACCUGUAUUGGCAGCAGAGAAAUAACUGGCCGUUAAUAGUGUCUUAAUUAUUAGAAGUAAGUGUUGGAAGCACAAUUAGUAGUCUGGGUAGUACAUUUGUACCCAAAAAUAUUUGCAGGUAGUACAUGGCAGUGCUGCAGGCCCAAUAAACAAGAGUAGAGCGACAGGCACCACUAAUUUUAUUGGAUCAACGGUGGAAAUGUAUUAUCCGCCAACUCAGCGCCACUUGGCACAUGAUAUUUUAGUACAAUAAGAAGUCUAUUAAUCACUACUAGAAGUCAAUCAAUAAUUAGUUCAUUUGAAUAUGACUUUUAUUAUUUUACCUGAUUUUGGGAGGAACUAAACCCAUGUCUUAUACUGUGGUUAACCAAACUUGUAGAAGAUGUGCAUUAAAAAUGUUGGGCUGUCUUUUUCUUUUUUUUUUUUGGUUAAAGUCUCUCCCAAAGUAUUACUUGUUACUUUCUUGCAAAGAAAAAAUAUCAACACUAUAGACGACAUUACAGAGCUGUUAUCGAUGGCAUUUGAUGGUAUCCUAAAAUAAAUUGAUCUCUUAAUCUCAUUUUAAUUUUAUUUUUAAAUCGAUUUGUUUGGAUUGUAAUUUUUUUUUCCUUUAAAGAAAAUUUACACUUUUUUAAAUAUAUUUUUUUAUCUCCCAUACAUUAAAUCGAUGCAGUAUAUUCAUAACGUCAGUCAGUAUCCCGAUUUGUGGAGGGCUUAUCUGUGAUGCAAUUAUGUUCAUUUUGAAAAAAUCAAAAAAUGAGGCGGGUGAUAAUUGGGGAAAGCCAGCAAUUAUUCUUGAAGAAUGUAUGAAUCAAAACUAUGUGCUACGUGCUGUCAAGUCUAUGGUUGAUAAGCUUUUAGUUUGUCAACCAAGUCAUCCACAACAUCAGUCGUUGAUGUGAUGCUUUCAUUCAUUUUGAUUUUGGUGAGUGGUAAAGGCGUCCCAACUGGCUAACCAUCAUUGGAUAUUUGGAUUACAGGGUCGAAGUGCAACAUUUGCUUGGAAGAAAAUACUCGUUUUGAUGAUCUUAAGAAAGAAACCGAUUUCUGCAUGUAAAUUUUACAGGAGAAAAGAUCAAGUUGUUAGGCUUGCGAAGUAUUGAUGUUAGGCUUACGUUUUGUUUUUUUUUUUUUUUUUUUAAAAAAAAAAAGUAGUGUUUCCAUGCUUAAUUUUAACACCAAAAAAAAAAAAAAUUUUUUUUGGAGGGGGGUAUACUGUCACUUUGACAAAGUAAAGGAAUGGAGCUAGCCUUUUCAUAAUUAAUCAUUUGCAAGAAAAUCGAAUUCUUAGACCCCCCCCCCCCACCAAACAGCGGUGGUGAAAGGAUUGGUUCCUUGCUCUCCCUAGUCACGCUUGUACUUGUAGAGGGAGAUUAGGUCACUAUUAGGGUAUUCUUAAGAAUUUAAGAUUGUCGGCAGCGGAAAGCAAGCGAAGGUUUUGCUUCUGAAAAAUAUAUUUUCAUUCUAUUAUAUGAGGUGAAACUAAAACUUUUCUUUAGAACAAGCUAUUCUUUUUCUUUCUUCUUCUUUUUUUUUUUUAAUAUUGUUAUAAUAAUAUUUACUUCCACUCUUACUCGUAUACUAAUUUGUUUUUUUAAAAAAAAAAUUCUAGAAAUGUGUAAUUCUUCAAAUAUAAAAUGUGCCAAAGUUCUAUACCAAGCCCACAUAAUCUUAAAUUCUAGCCUAAAAUAAUAGAAAAGAAAAGACUUACAUGUAAUUAUGUUUAAUGGAUAAAUGUUUGCCGCCAAAAGAAAAACAUUUAUUUGCCGAACCCUUGUCAGCUAUAUAGUAUAGGUGGAUCGGAAUCUUGAGGAGAUUCCACUUAUUGUCUGAAGACCACACAACAUUGUACUCACCUCUUCUCCCCGUGUCUCUACUGAUUGCCGAUAAUAGGUCUCUGUAUUGAUGUCAUUCCACACUACACCUUCCCAAGUGGGAUACCCUUUUUUUUUUUUUUUUUUGCUAUUAGUAUUUCCUUUUUAAAAGCCCAAUUAAUGAAUUCGAAAAAUAAUACUCUAUUAAAAGGAAUGACAUUAUUGAAUUUUUUGGUUCUUUUUUUUUUUUUUCUCCUUAUAAGCCUACGUUAUUAUAUCUUUAAAGACAACAACAAAAAAAAUUUGCAAUUUUUGAAAAACAUACAUACGUAUCUGAUAAAUUGAUGACUAAAGAGAACAUCUUCUGAAUUAGAUGCUUUGAAGAUCAAAGGCAAAGUUGGGCAUAUGAGUAAAUAUGUCCCUCCCUUUGUAGCAGCACACGCUGAGACUGAGACAGAAUCAAAUGAAGCAAAUUUCCCUGUGGCCAAAUCUGAGACAGCUUCACUACAUUCUUGACUGUAACUUAUAUUUCAUGCUUCGACGUGCCUUUUCAUUGCAUUGACUGUAAAAAAAAAAAAAAAAAAAAGUCGUCAUAUUAUCAGCCAGGCAACAGAAGUAGUAAAAGGUCAUAAAUCAUCACAUGCAAUGUGCUGGAAGAUGUAGCUAGGUACAGGAACAUAAAAUUUUCUUCCAGCGUCUGUCUGUCCUCGAAACUUGCUACCUACCAAUCUUUAAUUACUACCUACCAAACUUACUAGCUAUUUUUGGGAUUACUUGUGGAGUAUUUCGACCUCCCUACCCUAUUUAUUUUUUUUAAAUUGUCGGAUUGCCCUUCUCUUAUAUAUGUUGGGUACAUUGCAAUAGAAAGUAAGAUAAUAAAUCUUUGAACAUCCCCUGCAUGUAUAAUAUGAUGAUCAUGUACGAAAUUAUUGGCCAAGUCAUAUUCUGGAUUAUACCCUCCCCCCUGCGGCACAUAUGUAUUUACUAUAUAUACAUGUAUAUAUAUGCCUUGUUUAUUUAAUGAAUUCUAAUCUCUCUCAUUUCCACCUUGCAUCAUUAAUUACCUCAGCUCAACAAUGGAAAAAUUUGCCAAAACAAUGUCUGAGCUAGCACAUAAGCUAGCAGAGAUUUUGGCAGAAAAUAUGGGUCAUAAGUCGACAUUCUUCAGGCAAACAUGUUUGCCAAGCACCUGCUAUCUUCGAAUGAAUCGAUAUCCACCGUGUCCCAUAUCUCCUCGAGUGUACGGCUUGAUGCCUCACACCGAUAGCGAUUUCAUCACAGUACUGCACCAAGAUCAGAUUGGAGGAUUGCAAUUAGUGAAGGAUGGCAAGUGGAUUUCUGUUAAACCCAAUCCUGAAGCCUUAAUCAUCAAUAUUGGAGAUUUGUUUCAGGUGUGUGUGUGUGUGUGUGUGUAUAUAGAUAUAGAUAAGUGAAAAAGAAAAAAAAAACUCUGAUUGCUGCAGCACAGGAUCUUUGACAUAUGUUAUGUUGAUUUGAUGGUGCAGGCAUGGAGCAAUGGUGUGUAUAAAAGUGUUGAACACAGGGUUGUGACCAAUAUGCUAAAGGAGAGGUAUUCCAUUGCAUUUUUCUUGUGUCCGUCCUAUGAAACUACAAUCAAGAGCUGCGUGGAUCCUUCAGUUUACAGAAAAUUUAGCUUUAGGGAGUACAGAGAUCAGGUUCAAGAGGACGUCAAAAAGUUCGGUUACAAAGUAGGUCUGACUAGAUUUCUCGUAUGAUUGUAACUACAAAUCUAGUCAAUCCAGUCAUAGAGUACUAUAUUUUUCUUGCUCAAGAAAGCCCAAGAAGAAAAGAAAGUAAAAAGAGGAAAAAAUCCUUAUAAUAUGCAAAGUGUGAGGUAAGGCAUUACUGAGUAAGAAGUCCUUCAUUAUGUGCCUUGUUUGGUAGGUGUUAUGAGGUGGAAUUAAUUUCCUGCCUUCUUCUAUUAAAUGUACAAAGUUUUGCUCAUUAUAUAUCCUUCGAGCAUGUAAUUAAUGCUCUAUAGCCAGGAAAGAAAAAAGGUAGUAUGUACUAGUUUGUUGUCCCUAUAAACAUAUCCUGAUUUCCUUAUGCUAUAUCACCAUGCAUGCAUCAGAGUUUAAUUAAAAAUCUUGAAUUUACGCACAAUACCAAAUGAGAAUCAAGGGAAAAAAAAGAAAAAGAAAACUAGUUUCACAAAUUGAGAUUAAUCCAAAAUAAGGUUAAAUAAGUAGAUCGAUCCCCGCCCUAACUGUCACCAGAAUAAUUCCCCGUACUUUGUGCACUAACACUUAAAAAAUGAUGGAUUCAUAGUUUACAAUCUUAGCCUUGCUCUUAAGACAAGUUCUUUUACUUGUUGAACAGGGACAGGAUUGCCAGUAUCAAUUGUUCAUAACUUGAAAAGGCUACGGCGAAUAAGGUAAACAUAACAAUAUAAUAACGAACGUUUCAACAAGACUACCAAAUUCCAUUGCAUGGGGGAUGUGAGACUCGGGCAAUAAUGUAGUUUAUAAAUCUGGAUCCAUGCUAGUGUUUGGUAAUUGGUAAUUGUGGAUCCACCAUUGCCUCUGGUUGCAUUGGCAUCUGAUUGGAAUAUCUCGGCUGGUUUAAGUGUAAAAACAAAAUUGUUGGAGAUUGGUAAAAUAUCACUUGUCUCUCCUAUUUUUAAUUUUUAUGUAAUAUUUUCAACCCAAUUCAAAAUAUAUGAUUUAAAACUAAUUUUAGGAGAGAAAAAAUAAUUCAUUCCAAAGUGUCCUUUUGUUAUCGUCUCUUAACUGUCAUGACAGACUAACUUAUAGUUCUUUAACAUGUGAAAAUUAGUCCGAUGUGGUUCUUUAAUGAAAAAUUACAAGUUUUUAAUAGGGUUGAAAGAUCCUUUACUCGAUUUUAUUUUGUAAUUUAGAAAAAAUUAAUUAAAAAUUUACAAAAUAUUGAAUAAUUUAUGAAAGAUGUAACAAUCAUCCAAAAUACUUUAAAGAUGAAGAAAAUGACCUUUUUGUACCUUGAAAACACUUUUUUUUCUAAUUUUAUUGGUGAAAGAGUAAUGCUUUGUUUGAAUUGCUAUUUUUUUUUGAAGUUUUUUUUAAUAAAUAAAUAUACUACAACAAUUUUGAUGUUCGUCAAGUAAAAAAGUAAUUAAGAAAUAUUUUCACGAGGUUUGCGGCUUUUCAACAUAAGUAGAUAACGUGCCAACACCAUUCAGCAAUUUUCGUCGUCCUCUCACGUGUUGCGCGCAUGGAUCACCCCAUUUUUUUCGCGCGAUGCGCUUCGUGUGUCCAUUUUUAUUGUUCUUUUUUCUUUCUCGGCUUAGGGUUAGCCGCAUAAAACACAAGAAUCUCUCGGCUGCUUCUUUCCUCUUGCCUUCCUUUUUCCAAGAAGAUUAUACCGCCGCUUCUUCCCUUCUGUUUUUAUGGCUUUCCCUCCUGGCUUCCAUUCGUUGGCUUAGGGUUGUAAGUUUGCAGCUUUCUUGCUCUUAGUUUCAGUGCCACAAGCAAAUUGAAUUAAAAGAAGAAGAUGAAGAUUUGAGAAGCUAGUACUGGAAUCCUCCAGAACGUGUGGUCGGCAUCAUUUCCAUCUCAGGUUUUGGAACUUUGGUUUAGGGCUUUUCUUUGUUUCCCCCAGAUUUAUAACAUGUCUUUGUUUUUUCUGAUUAUUCUCCUUCGCUAUAUUUUUUAUUUUUUUCCCCAGAAAGCUCCCUCAUUCUUCGUUAGUUUUUUUCCCAGAAAACUCCCUCUUGUCUGCCGUGGCAAUGUUGCUCUGCCGCUUAGGCAGAGGUUCUGAACCUUGGUAUAGAAUACUGUUGGGGUAUCUGAUGUAGGUUUCACAUGCUUCCCAUGUGCCCCUGUUUCCCUAUUUUUCUGGUUCUAUUGCUUUUGCUUUCUUCCCACUAACUUCUCUUUCUUUUCCACUGGCAAUGUUGCUCUGCCGCUUAGGCAGAAGGUUUUUUCUUUUAGGUUCCCGAUGAUCGAAAAUAUGUGGUCGUCUUGGGUACAUGCUGUUUACAGUGCAAGGAGCAUCGACUCUCUGCUCUCUCGCUCUCUGGGUUUGAGUGGUUUGAAUCCUGUCCCGGCCGUUGCUGUUUUCCUUCGUUGUAAGCUUUUUUUUUUUUUAACAAUCGCAUCCGUUAUUUGUUUUGCGAAGCUAGCCUGCAUGCUUUCCUCUUUUAAGCCAUUUUUUGUGUUUUAGAUCUGUUGUGAGUUUAGCUGGUUUUAACUGGAAAGGUCUGCUAUGUAGCUUAUGUUCGUCAAUGAUGUGAACCAUCUUCUUGCUCUUUCAAUGCUUUCCUCUUUACUGGUUUGAGAAGUGAUUCUUAAAAUGAAUAUGGGAUUAUGUACUAAAUUUUAGUGAGUCCUAAAACUUUGGUAGUAUAUGCUCUUAUUAGGUACAACAAUGUUCACAAAUGAUAAUGAAAUGGGGAUACUGCCUUAUCUUUGAAUUCUACCUGCACUAUAAGCUCUGAUUUGAAAUGGGGAAAAAUACAUCCAGUUAUCUCUAUCUUUAAUCGGACUUGAAGAUUUUAUUCAUCAAGAAAGAACCCUAACUUGUGCUUUUUCAAACUGAUGUCGUGCAUAGUGCUUGUCCCCUUUGUAGGAAGGUCUUAGUGUAGUGUUUUUUAGCCUUAUUAAACGUAAUUCAAAAAAAAAUUAUCUAUUUAUGUAUAACUGCAAAGUAGCCUACUUAUUGCAACAAAAAAAAGUUCUUCUGUCAUUUGAAACUUUGCUAGCAAGAAGUCCUAUAUUUGUGAUUUGCUAGCCUGUUUGAUUCCAUGUUGUGGCAGAUGGCCAUAUACUGGUACGUCAAGUGUGUUUCUUUUUUGUCUCCUAUUUCUUUUUUGUCUCCUAAAUAGCAAUAUCCUUAUUGUAAUUAUCUGAGCAAUAAUAUUUCCAGUUCAACAUUCCUCUGAUUCAUUGCUUUCAGUGCUUCUCUUCCUCAAACUUUAUCUAUCUUCUCUCCCAUUCCUACCUCUGUAAUUUUCCUGCUUCUGCUUUCGCUCGUCCCCAUCUCAUUGUAUCAAAAGAUUUUGGUAUGUUUCUAUCCAUCUCAUCAUCUUUCCCUCUUCGAUUUGAGUUCUGUUCUCUUCUAUUUGAGUUCUCUUUUGCCUUUUAGAUGGUUACAUGAAUUUUGAUUAUUGUUUGUAUUUUUGUUAUCAAAUCAUUCUGGAAUGCUUAGCUUCCCUCUUUCUUUUCUUUUAAUUUUAUAUUUUUUUCUUUUUCCUCUCAAAUUUCUAGCCAAGCAUAUAUGGCCAAAGAAAGGAAAGCUGGAGAAGAAGUUGCUCUAAAGAAGAUACGCAUGGACACUGAAAAAGAAGGGGUAUUGUUAUUCUACUCAAUUUCUUAUUUUCUUAGCUUGUAACAUUUUAAUUUUCUUAGUGGAUAAAUGGUUAUGCCUGCUCUUUUCAGAACAUUCAUAAUUGAAGCAACCACUAAAUUCAAAAAUUUUUUCUUGUAGUUCCCUAUAACUGCCAUGCAUGAAAUAAAAAUUCCAAGGAAACUGGAUUUGUGCUAUUUUGGGACCUACCCUUUGAUGUGUAGCUUGUGUUCUGAAAAAAACUAUGGUGUAUGCCUUAAAAAAUUUAAACUCUAUUGUACUUUAUUGCUCUUUUCCUUUUUGUGUUUUGGGCUAGAGUUGUUAUGUUGCUGUUUAUACUAACCACUACAGUUAGGGAUCUGCUUCAUGAGAGAAGUGUGGGAUUAUGUAUUACUUUUUGGUUUUCUAUGUCUAAAGAAUAUGUAUUGAUUACCCUAUGUAGUUAGGCUAGCACAUCUAAUUGCCCUAUCUCUUCUUUUUUUUUUUUUAGAGAUCGAAGUUUUAGAAUAUACUUGCUCUGCUUACCAUUCCAUUCCUGCCAAACCCCCUUUGCAGGUCCCUAAAUCUGGGAUGAAUUGAAUUUUAUUUAGUCGCACCUUACCUUUAAUUUAGCUGUCACAAACAUAUCUCAACUCUCUACUCCCGACCAUUUUUAGUCAACGAUGGAAAUAAUGUAGUACAUUGCUAUUAUAUGCUUAAAAGUUGCUUAGUAAUAUGAUUGCUUGCACAUGUGAAUCAGUAUUUUCAUUCUGCUACUUCAAUAUCACUUGAAACGGCACCUUUUAUUUGCUUGCAAAACUAAAGAUACUUUUAUAUUGCAGCUACAGAUCUUGUUACUCGAUCCAUUAGAGUAAUGAUGGAUUCAGGGUGUGAAGAGGUAUGUCACUGGUCCUGCCGCAUUUGGAAUUUGUUUUUCAUUUUUUUGCCUUUGCUAAUGCAUUAUGGCUUUCUACUCUUCUUUGCAGUGCAAGGGAAAUUGUAUUGUUGGAAACUAAAAACAAAAGGGAAAUGUAGGGAAUAUUACUGGGAGAUGACUUUAGUAGUGGAAAACUAUCAGCUUCAAUUUAAGGGUUCUCACUAAAUUCUACCCGAGCAAGUACAAAGCUCGUAGUGUCAGGAAUGUAUUAAUCCCGUGAUCCACCUUUUGGCUUCUUAGGAGCGGAAGGGGGUGAUUUUUAGCUACAUGGUGCUUGUCAAUCAUCCCACUUGUCAAACCUUUAUUAUUUGACCGAGGCUAGAAUAGUUGGGCCUUGUGGUAACCUUUUAUACUGCAAUCAAAGAAUCGUAACCAUACUCCACCCUCUCUUUUAUUAAUAUACCCUUUUUUUGUUACUGCAUGUGACAGGUGCCGAACCUGUAUAAUAAUAAAUACCUACUCGAAAAAAAUACAGAUUUUGUAUAUAGCGGUGAGCAGGUUCGAAUCCACAGGGAUUGGGGAUAAUUCGUUUCUUCUAGAGUUCAAAGUAUGGGGGGUUUUGGAUUAAAUGCUAACUAAACAAAUUAACUGCAGAAAAUAAUUAAUUAAAAGAAAUGAUUGGGGAAACUCUAGCCAAGGAUACACAUCAGAAAUGGUUCAUGCACUGAUCAUUGAUGCAGAAAUAACUCCAACAUUUAGUAAUAGAUUAGUUAUAGUUGUCAUGCACGCGAUAAACAACCAACCCUUCCUUAAUUUCUCGAUAGCUAAGGUACGACCGUUAGCUAUUUCUCUAACCCAAAAAUAACCCUAGGUACGACCGUAGGAUUUAAUUUCUAAAUUGCAUUAAUAAUUAGAAAGGCUCAAUCCUAACCAACAAACACGCUACGAGGGUUUGUUUAAAUUAGAUCAUAUGCUCCCCUGACAUAAACCCAAUUAUGCCAGUUGCUACUAAGGUAGAGAUAACGAACAAUUACGGAUUCAAUUACCCCUAUUUAGCAAAAAUAGCCUAUAUGAAUAAUUAAUUAUUGCGCACUAAUCAAUCAUACACAAGGCCAUAGCAAUUAAAAUCAAGGAACAUAUAAAUACCAAUAAAUGAAGAAAAUAGUUAAAACAGAUUCGAUCUCACAGUAGUUGUCGAACCAAAUCGUCAGUUGUCCCCUUGACCAGAAAAGCUUAACCACGCCUCAUGAGAAAAUCUCCCCGUUGGGGAAUAUUGUCGAACACCUGGCGUGUGUCAGAGGCCAGUCCAAGGAAAGAAAGAAAAGAAACUAAAACUAAACUAAAACUAGAGAUCUCCCUGCUACUCUACGUUAUCCCUAUUUAAGCAACAAGAGGAAGAUGACUAAAGGCUAUCUAGGUGGUCCCCACACAUGUGGACAAAGCCCUCCAAGUACUUCUUGUUCCAAGUCUCUUUCCCGUAACUUUCUUUUAAGAACCCAAAUGACUAGAUGCUUUCCACUAGCUUGUGGUCCCCCACCAAUUCAAGGGCCCAAGCAUUGAAGCCCUUAGGAGUCUCCAUAUUUUCCAUAGAGUCCCUCCUUUUUGGUAGUUUUCUGCUUUAUUCCUGAAAUUAAGUCCAGAUACCAAAUAUGAGUAAAUAUCAGCAAUUAACACAAUAUUUAUCAGGGAAAAAAGGGAAAAUUAAUAAUAAAAUCACUAACAAAUUGUACCCUAUCAAUUCCCCCCACACCUGAAUCAUGCUUGCCCUCAAGCAUGGGGAAAAUUCAACUCAACAAUGGCUAGCUUUCUCAUUAUCAUAGCCAGCUAUGCUUAUACCCAGAAUCAAGAUCUAGUGACUAAGUGUCAAGACAUGUCUCUUCCGGUUAGUUCCUAAAUUCAUAGACCUGUCCAAUUCAUGGCUACUUUGUUUAGGGAAUCCAAAUACUAACUAGCAACAGUCAAUAAUUAAGUCCACUGGCGACCAGAAUCUCAACAAUACGAACCAAGGAUCGGCAGGCUAACAUGAUCAUGAACUCACAUAUUCUCCACAUCUGAUUGUCUCUUUUUUUUUCUUUCUUUUCUGUUUUGUUUCCUUCCUUUUUUUUUUCUUUUUCUUCUCUCUUUUUUUUUUUUUUACACGAAUAAGGCUGAGUCCCAAGUUAUUCAAGUCUUUUGACGUGAACUCUGACAUUUUUAGAUGAAAGAGCCCAGUUACUCAACUUUUCACAGCUCCAGGACCACUUACUCAUAGAUAUCGCCACUUUUUAACGCGAGAGCCGACACUUGUGGUGAAAACUCCCGGUUACUGGGUGGCGACACUAGCGGAGUAUAGCCAUACGUUAUUCACCAAUAAACACCAAAAUAUCAAGUAAUUACUGAUCAUAGCCUGCGUCAUGUCCCAAAUAUGGAGAACUAAGGUAAACAGGAGACCAAACUACAUAACAGUGCCAGCAAAAUAUUUAUAUUGCCUAAACAAGUUAGCCAUAAAUUGCACCACGUCGUUAAACUCAAAGUAUUCACCAAGAAAGCAUGCUUUUACUUGCCACUGUAACUCAACUCAUAGUACAAACCACAACUAACAAGAAAAAGUGAGCUGCCAAAAAUAUUCACCAAUAUAGAAGUAAGGGAAAAUCACCCAAAAGGGAUAAAGGAGCAACACCUAAAACAGAAAAUAUUUAAACUAAAAACAUAGGAAAAACACCCCAAAAACGAAAAACUGGAAACAUGUAGCACCCAAACUGACUCCCCCACACCUAAGUCACACAUUGCCCUCAGUGUGAAAAUGGAAAAGCAGAAAAAGGAGAAGGGCAACGGUACUUCCCUGUAGUCGUCAGAACAUGGGAGGGUUAGGCGGAAACUGAGGAGCGAACCCGGCUUGCUGCAUAAAUGCCGCUAUAUUCUGUGCCAUGCCGGCGACAUUGGUGUCAACAUUGACUAUCCGAGCCUCCAAAGCUUGCGUUUCUGAAGCCUUUAUUGGGACACAGAAAACGCGAUUGAAAACGUGCCUCCAACUCGCGUUUUCUAAGUCGCGUUUCCUGCACAAAACUCGCAGGAAUUAAAACGCGAUUGAAAACGCGCCUCCAACUCGCGUUUUCUAAGUCGCGUUUCCUGCACAAAACUUGCAAGAAUGGAAACGCGACUGUGCAGGUAAACGCGACUUCGAGUCGCGUUUUUUUUUUUUUUUUGAAUCUUGACCCCUUCCUGCACUUCAUCACGCGGCCGCGUCAAGAGGAAAUGCCACCUACAUAACAGCAAAAACGAAAAUUAACACCCAAAAUCAGUCAAAUUCAAGGAAAAUAGAUUUAAACUAAGACACGAAAUCAAAUAAACAAUUAAAAGAAACAAUUGGGUUGCCUCCCAAUGAGCGCCUUUCUUUAAUAUCUUUGGCUAGACAUUAUCAUGUUUUGUUCAUGGAGGAUAAAAUCUUGUGGCUCGUCUCAUUGCUUCAUCCUCUACAUAGUCCUGAUAGCUCUCAUAGAUGGAGUAAUCUUUGAGCACACGAGCUACGGUCUUCCAUGAACUAGUUGAUGGCGCCAAGUAAUCAAGCAUUGAUCGCAAUUCUUCAUCCACUCCUCCAUCAAGAGCCUUCGACGGUUCAAGAUAUUUGACUAUAGCUACUCUUAACUCAUUCCUGCCAUGAGACUCAAGAACUUCCGGUAUAACAAAAUCAAUCUCAUUAACAGAAAUCAUGGAGUAAGAAUUAAGAAAAUGCGGGUUAGGGAAUGGAGGUGGUGUCACCACAUUUGAUGAUUCUUCACUGGAUUCUUUCACUUGAAUGGGUUGCGGUUGGGGUUUCAUUUCUUCAUUUUCAGCUUCUUUUUCAACUGCAUCUGUACAUCUCUCUUCUUGAAAAUCUUGCAGCUCCUCAUCACUAGUCAGGCAAAUUGCACUCUCAUUUUCUUCAAAAUCAACAAUGGUUUUUGAGGGCAAUUCUUCAAUUUGAGAAGCCACCAAUCGAUUUAUUCUGGAUGUCAAUAGACAUAUUUGAUCUUCCAGAUUACUCAUUGCAUCCUUCAUCAUCUCAUUUCUCAUUCGUGUCUCCUGUUGGAAUUUAUACGUAUUAGUAGCUAUUGAUUCAACCAUUUCUUCAAGAGACAUACCUGACAUAGACGAUGAUUCUGGAGACUCAUACUGCUGAAAAUUCACUGGCCCUGUUGUAUAAUUAUAGCUGGAGUUAUCCCACCAUCCUUGAUCAUACCCGUUUGGAUUAGGGUUAUACCACGUUUGAGACCAGGGUGAAAAAUCUCCAUAAUUAUUAAGUGGGACACUCAGAUUAUCUUGAUAUUCGGGGCACAUACCGGUUGAAUGAUCCCUGGCAUAACAAAUUUUACAGGUUGCAGCAGCCAUUCUUUCUCUAAUAGAAUUUAGUGCCUCUGAAUAUGCAAACUUAGCGAAAAAACUAGUCUCAUCGCCUUCCCCGGAAACAAAAUCCAUUAUAUCACCAAAAUACGGAGUGUUAGAAGCCAUAAACUAUAUAAAAAAAAUAAGAGAAAAAUAAAUAAGAAAAAUAAGAAAAAGAUGAACUCAAAAAGAAACAAAUUAACCUGGCACCAGUCCCCGGCAACGGCGCCAAAAAUUGACAGGUGCCGAACCUGUACAAUAAUAAAUACCUACUCGAGAAAAAUACAGAUUUUGUAUAUAGCGGUGAGCAGGGUCGAAUCUACAGGGACUGGGGAUAAUUCGUUUCUUCUAGAGUUCAAAGUAUGGGGGGUUUUGGAUUAAAUGCUAACUAAACAAAUUAACUGCAGAAAAUAAUUAAUUAAAAGAAAUGAUUGGGGAAACUCUAGCCAAGGAUACACAUCAGAAAUGGUUCAUGCACUGAUCAUUGAUGCAGAAAUAACUCCAACAUUUAGCAAUAGAUUAGUUAUAGUUGUCAUGCACGCGAUAAACAACCAACCCUUCCUUAAUUUCUCGAUAGCUAAGGUACGACCGUUAGCUAUUUCUCUAACCCAAAAAUAACCCUAGGUACGACCGUAGGAUUUAAUUUCUAGAUUGCAUUAAUAAUUAGAAAGGCCCAAUCCUAACCAACAAACACGCUACGAGGGUUUGUUUAAAUUAGAUCAUAUGCUCCCCUGACAUAAACCCAAUUAUGCCAGUUGCUACCAAGGUAGAGAUAACGAACAAUUACGGAUUCAAUUACCCCUAUUUAGCAAAAAUAGCCUAUAUGAAUAAUUAAUUAUUGCGCACUAAUCAAUCAUACACAAGGCCAUAGCAAUUAAAAUCAAGGAACAUAUAAAUACCAAUAAAUGAAGAAAAUAGUUAAAACAGAUUCGAUCUCACAGUAGUUGUCGAACCAAAUCGUCAGUUGUCCCCUUGACCAGAAAAGCUUAACCACGCCUCAUGAGAAAAUCUCCCCGUUGGGAAAUAUUGUCGAACACCUGGCGUGUGUCAGAGGCCAGUCCAAGGAAAGAAAGAAAAGAAACUAAAACUAAACUAAAACUAGAGAUCUCCCUGCUACUCUACGUUAUCCCUAUUUAAGCAACAAGAGGAAGAUGGCUAAAGGCUAUCUAGGUGGUCCCCACACAUGUGGACAAAGCCCUCCAAGUACUUCUUGUUCCAAGUCUCUUUCCCGUAACUUUCUUUUAAGAGCCCAAAUGACUAGAUGCUUUCCACUAGCUUGUGGUCCCCCACCAAUUCAAGGGCCCAAGCAUUGAAGCCCUUAGGAGUCUCCAUAUUUUCCAUAGAGUCCCUCCUUUUUGGUAGUUUUCUACUUUAUUCCUGAAAUUAAGUCCAGAUACCAAAUAUGAGUAAAUAUCAGCAAUUAACACAAUAUUUAUCAGGGGAAAAAGGGGAAAUUAAUAAUAAAAUCACUAACAAAUUGUACCCUAUCAGCAUGCUUUCCCUCACGUUUGCACAAAUAUACAUAGACACACAUUACACCAGUAGUGCUAAUAGCUCUUUUGGCAACUACUAGCUUUGGAUGGCGUGAGAAAGUUGUCUUAUUUAUUCAAUUGUUGAGCUUAUCCCAAAUAUAUAUAUAUAUAUAUAUAUAUAUAUAGAGAGAGAGAACUGUCAUUGGUUCCCUGAUAUAAUUUUUCUUUUUCUGUUUUUAAAUGGACUAAUUGGUCAUCUAGACAUGGUUGUCAACACUAUUGCAGAUGCAAGCAUCUUUGACAUGUUCCUUUUCUUUGUUGACUUGGAGGUUUCUUUACUUUAUUGACUUGGUUUAGGACAAGUCGAGCAUUAGGUAUAUCUUGAACAGAGGUCAUGCACCAGUUUACAUUAGCAUUUGAUCUGAUAUCAAUGAAAAAAUCUGUUUGCAUUUUGGUUGUUGAUUUUGGCAGAAAAUGGCCAUUAGUAUUUUGGGUGAAAAGAGGAGGAGAGGUUUUUUUUUUUUGGCUAGAAAUUUUUGAGAGUACCGGACAAUGUAACACAAUCACUUUGUAGUUUUAAGUGGUAAUAGCAAAUCCAUUUUGGAUGAGUUUAUAUAGAUGUAAACAAUAAUAGUUUUAUUUAAACCCAAAGUAGUUACUAAAAAGUCUUUUAGACUCCUUGUUGAAACAAAAUUUCUGCUAUUUGCUUAUAUUGUGUGCUUUCUUUUUUAUUUUGUUUUGUUUUGUUUUGUUUUCCAUUGUGUUUGUUUAUAAGCACUUGUUCUUGGUGUUUUCAAGAUAAAGUUCUUGAUGUGGUUGCCAAAUUUAUAGCUACUCAUUUUUCUCAACAACAACUUGAUUUCCCUCAUCUUGCAUUGCCUUUGCCAGAGUAGAUGCAAGCAAAGGGUGAUGACAAGAUGAAAAUUGGAAUAUGAGAGAGAAGACACUCAAUUUAUGUCAAGAUGUAACAGAGUAAGAAUUGUUCUCCAUCUAGAAAAAAUCCAAGGAGAAAAAGAGUACUUGCUCCAUAUAUUCUUGACUGGUUCUUUUUGCCUGCAUGUCUUAUAUUCGUUCUCUUCUUUUGAACUGUCCAUCUGCCUAAUGUGCCACUUUAUCCUCAAUUGUAAGUUGUCCAUUAGUUAUUAAAAAAUAUAUAAUUGAUAUUUUUUCCCUUUCCAUAUAUUCAGAUGAGAGAAGCUAUAAGUGAUGCUGCUCUAACAUUGCCCUACUGGAAUAAUUACAACAAGAUGCAGAAUACAGAUCUGAGGUAUAUCCUCCUAAAUUCUUAAAAUGCCCAUCUCAAUUUUAAGGUUUAUGCACAAGUCUAAGUAAAGUCUAUUUGGAUGAUUUUUUGAAUAUUAAUGUUUGGGCUUUUGGUUUGCUGGGAGUCAGACUUGGAGUGGGUUUCAUGAUAAUGAACUUGUUGGAUUUAGUCAUUGCUUUAUGAAGGCUAAAAAAGUGGUGCGAAAAGGGUAAAGAAGUUUUUUCUAAAUGACAAACUUCUACCUAUUGAUUAGUUAUAUAUUCUUGCAUUUGUCUCCUUUUAAUUCGAGGUUGUUUACUUUAUCUCUUUACCUACUUAACCCCUUAAAGAAAAUGGUGGGUAUUAUUCUUGUUGUCCUUAAUGAAUGAGUCCAAUGUUGCGUUUUAUAAUAAAUGUUGGUUAUUUACUACUUUCUAUUUUAUAGGUGGACAACAAUUACCCAGUGAGUGCACCAUGGUAUGGUCUAUGCUGCAAUAGGAUACACAUUUGGAGCAGGAAUGUUUUAAGAUAGACUGCCUGAGAGGAGGUUCCCCUUAUGGAGCAGGAGUUUUCUUAGGAGACCACACAAGGGAACCCAGUGAAACAAAGCUCACACUGGUGGAGCACCUGGGAAAGUAUAUGGCAUUGAUGGCGAAGAGGUUUGCCCUGCCUCAUUCUUUCACAAAUGAUCACAAAGACAGUAGCUAGCCCCUGCAAAAGCCGUUUUGGUUGUUAUGUUAUUGUAUAUUGUAAUUCCAUUUUUUGCCUUGUAUCUAUACCAAUGGCAUUUUACCUUUGUGAUUUUGGAGGGUGUGAGAGCAUACUCCUUAUGUGUAAAUAGUUGACAAAAUUGGUACUCAUUCCAAAGCUGAUCGGUAUUUGUGCAUUCUUUGUUCACAGGAAGUUCCCAAGUAUGCAAUGUAGAAGACUCCAUGAAAUAAGGACUCGUUGAUUUAUUCCCCAUUUUAGAAUUUCUUUUGCUGUUAUUUUCUUUAAGAGGAAAGGCAUAUAAAAUUUUACUCCUGUUGUUUUAGCUUCAGAAUUUAUCUUUAGUCGGAUUAUGUAAACUAAGACAGUGCACCACAGCAUGGUGAUUACUGAUUUUUAUAUUGUUAGAUGAAAUUUGUAUCCGUCCCUUCAUGAUUUUCCUGCUCUCGGUAUAUUUGAGUUCUCAUAUUUUUCCUGCUCUUGUAUAUUUUAUCUCAUAUGAAUCACGAAGAUUUGGGAUAGGGUCUACUUUCUGCACUUAUAGUUCAAAAAUUAUAUUAAUAUAAAUGUUUUCACUAUUUUGAGAGCAUAAAAAGAUAACAAAAUCUAACUCUGGAUGAUGUUUAUAAGUUUAAGUAGUUGCAUCAUUGGAAAAUUGAUGGAUCUUAUAACUAAAUCAUAAUGCAAUCUAGCCUUGAGAUAGCAAACGUGGAUGGCAAUUUGGACAAAAUUCUCUAAUAUUCUGAUAUUUUGUUGAGAAUAACACUUACUAUUUUUUACAUGAUUACAUACUUAGGAGGCUUGAGCUUUUAUUGAUCAAGGAUGUAGCCAUCCUCAAUAGUUAACUUCCGCUGGCUUAGGGGUGCCCUCGUUAUAUUAAAGUUUGCUCUAAUUUUGAUUUAUCUGUACCAUUAAUUGAUCUAUUUUGGAUUAAGUACAAAUCAUUUUACUGGACUGGGCAUCUCCAUCUAUUUUUCCCACCGUGCGUAGCACGGUUUAUACCUCAUAGUUUAAAGAAUGUAUAUAAACUGGGAAGAGGGUGCCAAAGCAUGGUCGUCCUCCAUGUCUUGCUCACGUGCGGGUUGUGAAAGUGGCCCAUGAGCUGGAAAUUUCUGCAUCUUUUGUUCUUGGAACCACAAAAGGCAUCAAAUGUCUUUUGUCCUUGGAACCCAACAGUAUUUAUUGCGUCCUUGCUAGCAACCUUAUAAGAAAGGCAACGUGCUUUUUAUUGAGCUGUUAAAAUCGGGAUGGUGAUGAUUAGCUUUCUAUUAAAAGCAGAUAAUAGGAUGCUAGAACCUGAAUGACUUAUCGGCACUUGCUUCCUAUUUGAGCAAAUUUCAGCUUGAAUUACCCCUGCUGUGGGAUCAAUUAGUUAUAAAUUAUUAGUUAAAUAAUUAGUGUCCAAUAGGAACAUUGAAUUUUGACUUAAUUACUAACACUGCCCAAUAAUAAAUAUAUAUCUUCGAGUAGACGGACUGCUAUACAUUCGUUCGCUAUGCUGGCCUCAAGCGUCUUAAUGGUUCCUCGGAUUUGAAACGCGCAGGCACUCUUUGCGGCUUUUCAUGAAGCUUCUCGGCCCAGCUUUUCAUGAAUGAAGGUUGGAAAAUAGUUUUUUAGUCAUUCUUCAUGCAGACGUCUGGACUUAUAUUCCUCUCCUGCAGCUUAUUUUGCACCUGCUGCUCAGCCUUCGGCCCUUCGUUGGUUUUGUUGCAUUUUUUGGGCUCUUACUAUUACCAUCGAUAUACUCCUUGUUGCUAUUAGCUAGAAGAGGUGUUCAUUCUGUUUCUACUUUAGAGUUCUUUUUUUAUUAGAUUUUAUUUCUUGUUUCAUGCCUAUCCAGGUUCUAACCUUAAUGAGGCUGUUAUUCUAUCAAUAUGCAUUCAAUUUGACUUGUUUACUGAUUAACAUUUUUCGUUAGUAAGAUUAGUACCUGUCACUAUAUUGCUUUUCCAUGGUGAGUGCUGUUUAGAUAGUUUACGUUAGUCGGUUGUCAACUGCUUAGCUGGUUAUGUAGUGUGCGUUGCCUUUGUUAGCUCAUUACUUGUUUUUUUUCUCUCUCUUUGGCACCAUCGUUUUAUAUGCUGAUGUUUUUUAAGUUACUGCUAUUCCUCCUAUCUGUAUGUGUUUAGUUUUAUAUUUUGUUUGCUCAUUGCAUAUGUCAUUGUUCCUAGGACUAUUCUUUGUUAUUUCUUUCUGCUGGGUUUCGCUUCUUAGAGAAAAUGUCAUGUUUUUUGUUCGCUGAAACUCGCUUUUAUAGAUGAGUCACUGUUAUCUUGUAUUAUUUAUGCCAUUUGCUGCGAGUUGAGUUGUGAAAACAUAUCCUAGACAAAGUUACUUUGCCGAGCCUACCAAAAUUAUUCUAAAUGGUCAUGGACUAGCAUCUUUACCAGGUUCUGUAUCCAAGCACCAAAUAUUUCUGAGGCUCUCACUGGAUUGACUGGCGUUUCAACGCUAUCUGCUAAUACAGGUAAGACUGUUUCUUUUCUUUUUCGCUGCCAUUUAAGUGGUGGCUUCUUUCGUCUUGUCAAGUUGGUCACUGUCAGUCGUCUUUCUAUCACUGCUUAUGGCCUGCUUCUUUUACUUUCUUGUGCUUGCUUAAUUUAUGGUUUCACCUAAUUGUUGUUACAGCUAAUGUCCGAUGCUUCAAUUUUCUACAAGGUAAAUGUAAAAAUGGUAGUAGAAGAACUCUUUCUCGGUUGGAUAGGAUUGCAGAAAAAGUUUUGGCCCUGCCUUAUACUCUGCCCUAUCAGUAUUGCGGAGCUCAGCAAUUCCAUAUGGAACCUCCUAAUUUUUGCUUUCGGGAGGAAGAGUUAGCCUUGUGAGCUCAUCGAUGCCUUAUGAUCUUCGGCGCUUGUUCACUGGAGAAGAUGAGGAGUGUGAACACUUCAGGAAAAAUGUUCGCACUUACAAUAAUAACGUCGCUUUUACGUCAUUGAGUGCAAAGUAUGAUAGAGAACUAACUAAAAACAGGAAUGGCCUUUAUACAUUUUGUGCCCAGGGCCAGGUCUAUCAUUAUCUUGGUGUGCAGUCGCGCGAUGGUAAAGCUUCUGGUAUUCAGUUAUACUUCUUUGAUACCCUUGAAGAGCUUGCCAGGAGAGUUGAUGGAUCGCCCAAGUUAAGAGAAACUACUUUCAGGCUGCUUCUGCGUAUCCUUGUAGACAACCCUUAUGCCAAAUUCUUUAAAGAUCUCUGAAGUGUGUCAAAUCUUGAUGACCAUAGGGUCGUCCUCAACUGCAAUGUGAGUUUGGAUCAUCGUGUAUAUAACCUCCCAACCGCUUCAUAGGUUGCAGCGAUAUGGACUGGAGAUGGUGAUCAAUCGACUAAAGCUUCUGCUCAUAUUCAGGUGUAUAGUUACUCGGAUACAAGCCAUAAGAUCAAUUAUUUUUAUUCUUGCUAUGACUCUCUGCAGUAUCCUUUGUUGUUUCCUCGCAGCGAAUGUGGAUAGCAUCCUGGUAUCCAGCGGGUUUAGGUGAAAAAUAAAAAACGAAAGGAUCCUACCUCUGAGAAAUAUGGAGUAGAAAAGCAGUUCUCAUGGUAUCAUAGUUUCCAUGUUUACUCCAUCAUGAAAAAUGAAUAACUUUUGAUCAAUCAAAAAUAGAAGUUUCCCUGUGUCAUGUUUCUUUUUUCAAGUGUUUAAUAUAAGGAUUAUUUUUGCUCAUAUAUUAUUCCAUUCUCCGCAUUUUCUUUUUCUUUACCAGCUUAGACUUAGCAAAUGAAAAAUUCUCUUGCUGACAAAGUUGCCAACAACACACGGUUCUUCCAGACAUUUCUUUUUUGUCUAACCUCAGUGCCUCCGUACUUGCUCCUAAAGAACAUCCAAGGUGUAUGUCAAAGGUUAUAGGACAAAAAAUAAAAAAAUGUACUUACAUUUCCAGUAUAUAUUCUAUAACCAUGCUAAGAAUCAAAAAAAAAAAAACUUCCAUCCUAAUUAAAUAAUUUCUCUGUACAACAAAUCUUUUCCAAAAUACAUGUUCACUGUCUUCUCAACUUGGGCAUAUUUACAACGUAUCACCGUGCGCGCACGGUGAACAUCUCCUUGUGCCAGGAACUCAUUGAACCAUGACAAAAUUCACUUGACCAUUCUUCCUAGUCUGCUGCUCCACUCAACAGUCAACACAAGGAGGCGACGUCCACGUGUCACUGGAUUUCAUAUCCAAUUCCGAAAUCAAAAGCGCCGUUAUCCAAAUUCACAAAAAUAUCUAAAGAAUCAAGCAAAAAUGAUUUCUUCUACAACCUUAGGCUUCUCAAACCUCACUCCGACGACGACGACAGCCUCGUCCGUCUCCGAGCCGAAGUCCAAGUCUGAACCUGCAUCUCCAUCCGACAAACCUUCCCGAAAAAUCAGAAGUAGCCCGCAACUAAACCGGUGGUCCCGUGCUCGCGCAGUCCGUUCUGGCCGGAAAUUAGACCGCCGGGUUCAGAAAAUUACCAGCACCGCCGGUUCUCUAGUUCGUAUUGACAGUAACAAUAGUUCUAAUUCUAUUAAUUGGGAAAGUGAGUCGGGUGAAGAGAGUGGUGGGAUCAGCGGAAUGGAUGAAACGGAAGUAACGGCGGGUGGGAAGUCAAUUUACAUGGUGUCUGAUGGGACCGGCUGGACGGCGGAGCAUUCCGUCAAUGCUGCCUUAGGGCAGUUUGAACAUUGCUUGGUCGAUCGGGUUUGUCCCGUUAGUACCCAUUUGUUCUCUGGGGUAAGCUAAACUGAAUUUAACAGCUUUUACCCUUUUUAAAUAGACUCGUACUAUUUCUUGACUUAUUUGUAUUGUUUUCAGUUUCAGUGGUUGAGUUUACAUUGAAAUUUUGACGUGUUGAUAGCACAUUUUCACGAUUGAAGCCCUUAACUUUAAGUAGAUAAAACUUGUGUCCUGUUUGCUAAUAUUUGCUUCAAAGCAUACCCUUCCAGGUAUUUUUCCAUAAAGUUCUUAUUUUUGCUGGAUUACGGGUUAGAUGGGAUGCAAAUUGGUAUUUCUUCAGUUGCCAUAGUGUUUGUCAUACUUGUGGAGUACUUAUUUCAGGAAGAAGAUGCGUUUAAUUUGAACUAAUGGUUCAUGGCUUGUGUAACAAUCGGUAGGGGUUAUUUAAGUGUGUGGAUAAAUCAGUGAUCAGCUUAAAAAAAAAAAGAGUGAUCACCUACUGAUAAGAUGGCUUCAUUCCGUGGCAUCAAUAGAAGUUGCCUGACUAACUGAUGUCAGUUGAAUUUUUAAAGAAAAAGUAAUGUCGGUUGGGAAAUGGGGUUGUAGAAUUGUGUUUCUAUAUAUUAGGCUGUAGACUGAAAAGACUGGCUGAUACGAGCUAUGAUCUUGUAAUAGAAUGCCAAGCUUUGUGUUCAAAUCUUUCUAUAAACUUUCCAACAUUAUUUUCUAAGAAAGCACUUGCAAUUCACUCAUCUGUCAUGUUUCUUCUGAUUCUUUUGUGAGAUUCCAAAAACAUUUGACGUAUUCUGGUUAUGGUUUCCAAUUGCACAAAGCACUAAAAAUUGUAUUUAGAAGGGGAGAAAGUGUUCUGCGGUUUCUUUGCCUGCAACUGCAAGCAAUCACCCUGAACUUUUUAAGUAUGAGCUCUUGUUUUAUUGGAACUUUUCAAGUCUAUGUUUCAAGACCUCAUUGAGAAAUAAGUAUCUCAAUAGUUAUCCAUGUUUCUUGUGGUACUUUGUUGUUUUCUUAAAUGAUGCACUGUGCCAAUGCCAAAAUGAAGGCAUUAGAAAAGUGCAAAAUAAUAGCAUGGAGACACACUCUGGCUUCUAGGUGGGUAUGUUUUACUUAUUUUCUUUGUGAAGACAUUUGAGACUUCUAAUGAAGUAAUUAGCAUGACUUGGUAAUUGACGAAGCUGUUUGAGCGACACCUUGAACUUGAGAUGGGCUUGACCUAGCAUAAUCUGAGUGAGAUUGUUAAUUGGCAAAUGGUUCUUUUUUUUUUUUAAUCAAUUCUAAGUGUGUACUUCUAGAUCGUGUGUUACUUCUUGUAGCUGACACUUCCCUUUGGUCAUUUUGCUGCAAUAUUUUUGAAACUCCAGAUUGAUGAUGUUGAGCGGUUGAUGGAGGUUAUCAAGCAAGCAGCCAAAGAAGGAGCAAUGCUUGUCUAUACUCUGGCUGACCCCUCCAUGGCUGAAUCUGCCAAACAAGCAUGCCAGCUUUGGGGUAUACCAUCAGCUGAUAUCCUUGGUCCAAUAACAGAAUCAAUUGCAUCCCACCUGGGUGUUUCACCUUCAGGGCUCCCGCGUUGGGCUCGUGGACGGAGCAGCUCCCUUAGUGAGGACUACUUCCGCAGGAUCGAAGCAGUUGAAUUCACUAUAAAGCAAGAUGAUGGGGCCUUACCCGAAAACUUGCAUAAAGCAGAUAUUGUUCUUGCUGGUGUGUCUCGCACUGGAAAAACACCACUUUCAAUAUACCUGUCACAAAAAGGAUACAAAGUGGCAAAUGUUCCUAUUGUAAUGAAUGUAAAGUUGCCAAGUGCUCUUUUUGAGAUUGACCCAGAAAAGGUUUUUGGUCUCACUAUCAAUGCUGUUGUUCUGCAUACCAUCAGAAGUGCAAGAUCAAGGACCUUGGGCUUUGCUGAAGACAUAAGGAGCAACUAUUCUGAAAUGGACCAUGUAAAAGAAGAGCUGGAAUUUGCUGCUAAAAUUUUUGCCCAAAAUCCUGUCUGGCCAGUCAUUGGUGAGCACUUACAGACUUCUCAUAGUAUGUUCGGCCAAAUAUCUGAUAUUAUGUAAUUAUCAUUACAAUCAUCAAAAUUGGGACAUGAAGAUACUUUUGGACAUCCUUAGCAACCAAGUAACCUAGGAUGAUACAAGAUUAACACAGUGGUAACUUCUAAGUGCAAAUAUUUAUUUUAGCUUGGUUGGUUGUUAUUAACCUGAUUUUGUACUGUAUUGUUUCUGGGCAUGGUUGCAGAAGUCACAGGGAAGGCAAUUGAAGAAACAGCAGCGAUUGUACUAAGACUUUUCCAUGAUAGAAAGAAUAGGUGCUCAAUGCCAAGAAUUUCCAAACGCUAUUAGAUAGAUUGGGAGCUAUUUGCUGCUGAAUAUCCUGGGGAUCUGACAUUGAGGCCGAAACAAGAAGAUGUCAGCGAAUGUAUGGGUCUAGGCAUCUAGUCCAGCAAAUUAUUGCUUACUAAGUUGGGAGCUGCUGAAGGUACUUUCUGAAGUUCUAAAGUACAGAAGUUUCAGAUUGAUCAUCUUACAUGCCAUUGCAACAAAGUAAUAAUUGUAAAGCCGUGGGAUUCUCUUUUACCGGUCAAUCUUCAUAUAAUUUACUUGAAAUGAAAGAGAAAGUCGGGCAAAUGGAGGAGAAGAGGGAUUGGGGAGGUCCACUCGCAUUUUUGCACAUAUCUAGUUGCUUUAGCAAUGACUUCUAUAAUCAAACAUGAUAUUUGAUGAGCCAUUGCCUAAAUAGUUGAAAUUACUGGAAGAAUGCCCAGUUUAUGGUUCGGCUAGAUUAUACUUUCUCCAAAAAGAGUAAAAGUAAGAAGAUUUGGUGGGUUUCACGUCCAACAUAAUGCUAGAACGUUUUUUAGCAGGAAAUGCUGCUGAGUGCUAAUUCAUGUACACGUGCUUUUUUAUUUGUUUCUGACUUCUCUGCUUUGAGUGUGUAUGCAAAUUGGAAUGCGUAAAGUUCCUUUUUUUCUUGAUUCUCCUCCACAUAAAAUUACGAGUUACAGACCUUCAUCCAAAGAAUCUCCAUCGUCUAAUCCAUCGAGAAUAUGUCAAUCAAUCAAGAAACAUGAGGGAUACUCCUUGUAAUGAAUUAAUUGUUCUUCUCCUAGGUAAGGUGAAUAAUGAAGUCCUCAGGUCUGAACAAUAAGAAGUUCCCCCAGUUAUUUUAAUCAAUUGAAUGCUUUUGUACCAUAAAAUGUUUUAGAACCAUCUAAGGCUAAAAUCUGCACACCUAUAGACAUGUUCAGUGCUGUACACUGUUACAAUUCGCUUUAUUGCCUACCCACAUGGCAGCCAGACGCGACAAUUAGCGAACAACUACAAGUUUACUGUCUAGGGGAACCAGAAUGGGGCUAAACAGGAUUACUUUCUAGCUCUUCAUUUAGCUUGGCAGUCACGG
This 42894-nucleotide long non-coding RNA is filed under the name Coffea arabica (coffee). Its description in RNAcentral is "long non-coding RNA (CARA_LNC000965)". Lineage: Eukaryota; Viridiplantae; Streptophyta; Magnoliopsida; Gentianales; Rubiaceae. The record is from RNAcentral.